UGCACUUCAAAAGAAAGCAUAGGUGGCUGAUGGGAUCCCUCUGUGGGUAGGUUGGUACUGACAGCUUUGCCAUUUUCCCCCUUUAAGUCUGUUUUUUAAAAGGACAUCGUAAAAAGCUGUGGCUAGCAAAGAAGGGGUAUAAUUGAGGCAAGUGACAGCUGGACAAUCCGUGGCCAGCAAUACAAAAGAUCCAUCAGAGUGAGAGACUUAUGCAGAUUCUCGUGCAGGGAUUUUGAAGUGGAUUAUAUAUUUUGUUGACUAUAAAUGGUAAAUACUAAUUGCUUAGAUUUACCAGGCUCUUGCCAGCGCAGGGCAGCUGGGCUAAGUUCUUUCCAUAUUGGUUCUCAUUUGAUGCUCACUGCCAAGUGAGGCAGGUCUAAACCUGGUUCCCGAGAUGGGAAAUGAAGCGUUUUAGGGCUGAGAACAUGAAGUCUGGGAGGUGUCAAAGCCAGAACUCCAGCCUCAUCUGUGUGACUUCCAGGUCUUGGUCUCUGCCCUCUAGGAUGUCAUCCCUUCUGUCAGCUUUAGAUCCAGGGGGGUCCUGCAGGUCAGGACCUUGAUAUUAUCUUAUGGCCGAUGGAACCAGAAAAUGUAGAAACAAAGCAGCCUCAGAACCAGUGACUCUAGCACUAAGUGGGGCGUGCCUUCCUGAAUGUGAAUUAAUUCACAGAUAUUGAAAACGCAGGGUGCACAGGUGCAGACACGAGGCCCUGAAACUUCCUGUUGGUCUGAGUGAGAAUGUUUUAUGCGGUGCUCAAAAUGCUCUUUCCUUCUGCUCUAGGGGCAAAAGUAAAUGAGCUAUGUCCUGACUUGUGUCCCUCAGGUUCGUGGUGCACGGCCUAACCACUGGCGAGCAGUACAUCUUCCGGGUGAAGGCCGUCAACGCCGUGGGCACCAGCGAGAACUCCCAGAGAGUCUGACGCCAUCAAGGUCCAGGCGGCCCUCACUGUCCCAUCCCAUCCGUACGGGAUCACGCUUCUGAACUGCGACGGCCACUCGAUGACCCUUGGCUGGAAGGUGCCUAAAUUCAGUGGUGGCUCGGCCAUCCUGGGAUAUUACUUAGACAAGCGCGAGGCUCACCACAAGAACUGGCAUGAGGUCAAUUCGUCACCCAUCCAAGAGAGGAUCAUAACGGUGGAGGGCUUGACAGAAGGUUCCUUGUAUGAAUUCAAAAUUGCUGCCGUCAACCUGGCCGGAAUCGGGCAGCCAUCAGACCCCAGCGAGCACUUCAAGUGUGAGGCCUGGACAAUGCCAGAACCCGGUCCCGCCUAUGACUUGACUUUCUGCGAGGUCCGGGACACGUCGCUGGUGAUGCUUUGGAAGGCCCGGUGUAUACGGGCAGCAGUCCCGUGUCUGGGUACUUGGUGGAUUUUAAGGAAGAGGAUUCAGGAGAAUGGAAGACCGUAAAUGAGGCGGCAACCCCAAAUCGUUAUUUAAAGGUCUGUGACCUGCUGCAAGGCCACACGUAUGUCUUCAGAGUGCGGGCUGUGAAUGCUAGCGGGCCAGGGAAGCCGUCAGACACAUCGGAACCAGUGCUGUGGAGGCC
Molecule: non-coding RNA, 1546 nt
Organism: Castor canadensis (American beaver)
Lineage: Eukaryota; Metazoa; Chordata; Mammalia; Rodentia; Castoridae
Source: RefSeq, a predicted model, not a curated record